GCUGGGUGGAUGAGUGGCGAACGGGUGAGUAACACGUGAGUAACCUGCCCUCUUCUUUGGGAUAACGCCCGGAAACGGGUGCUAAUACUGGAUAUUCACUGAUCCUCGCAUGGGGGUUGGUGGAAAGGUUUUUUCUGGUGGGGGAUGGGCUCGCGGCCUAUCAGCUUGUUGGUGGGGUGAUGGCCUACCAAGGCUUUGACGGGUAGCCGGCCUGAGAGGGUGACCGGUCACAUUGGGACUGAGAUACGGCCCAGACUCCUACGGGAGGCAGCAGUGGGGAAUAUUGCACAAUGGGCGAAAGCCUGAUGCAGCGACGCCGCGUGAGGGAUGGAGGCCUUCGGGUUGUAAACCUCUUUCGCUCAUGGUCAAGCCGCAACGUUKGGUUGUGGUGAGGGUAGUGGGUAAAGAAGCGCCGGCUAACUACGUGCCAGCAGCCGCGGUAAUACGUAGGGCGCGAGCGUUGUCCGGAAUUAUUGGGCGUAAAGGGCUUGUAGGCGGUUGGUCGCGUCUGCCGUGAAAUCCUCUGGCUUAACUGGGGGCGUGCGGUGGGUACGGGCUGACUUGAGUGCGGYAGGGGAGACUGGAACUCCUGGUGUAGCGGUGGA
RNAcentral lists this ribosomal RNA (605 nucleotides) under Schaalia odontolytica. RNAcentral describes it as "bacterial SSU rRNA". It matches the Rfam family "Bacterial small subunit ribosomal RNA", at positions 82 to 685 of the family's 1533-position model. The record is from RNAcentral. Lineage: Bacteria; Bacillati; Actinomycetota; Actinomycetes; Actinomycetales; Actinomycetaceae.